CUUGCCGACCUCCUGCUCGAUUCGCCAAACGUGGAGGACAAAACAAACCCCUGACCCUGCUCCGUUCGCCCCCUCCUCGUCCCCCUCCUUCCUGCCACUGUCUUUCUCUUCCCUCUCUCUGCCCCUCACCCGGCUCCCUGCGUAGCUGCAUCGGGCGGGCGUGGCGGGGUGGGGCGAGGAGAGGCGCGGCGCCGCGUGGCUGUGCCGGCCGGCCGGCUGAGCUGAGCGGCGGCCGGCUGAGUAGACGAGUCGGUCUGUAACCGGAGUGGAGAGUGCACCUCUCGCGGGGCUCGUCCCAAACAUCGACAAGCUCGCCGUCCUCCUCGCCGCCAGGACCACGACGAGGACACGCGCCACCCGGGUCGCCGGCUCCGCCACAUCGAAGUCACAGCGUUACAGCCCGGGCACCCUCCGCUGGCCAACACGCGGCCGGCUGCUGCAGGUCGCCGACCGGCGCGGCGCGAGUAGAGGGAAGACCAGCGCCCGCUCCGCCGACUAAGG
Molecule: long non-coding RNA, 501 nt
Organism: Frankliniella occidentalis (western flower thrips)
Lineage: Eukaryota; Metazoa; Arthropoda; Insecta; Thysanoptera; Thripidae
Exons: 2
Source: RefSeq, a predicted model, not a curated record